GGUUCGCAACUCCAUUCUCCAGGAAUGUUUGUUUGGAAAGCUGCUAUGUGAAGAUCCCAAAAUGUUCGAGGCCAGGAAAGAAAAACCUCCAGACGGGUACACAGGCCUGAGGCCUAGUCGACAGGCUGCACCCAUGGGGCCGACAUGAAUUGGAUCUCGCUGGUCACUUGAAGAUUCAAAGAGAGAAACUUUAGGAUCAGGAGACCUUUGAACAAGAGCUU
This is a long non-coding RNA of Hemiscyllium ocellatum (epaulette shark), 221 nucleotides long. RefSeq lists it as uncharacterized. The record is from RefSeq and is a predicted model, not a curated record. NCBI's taxonomy places the organism in Eukaryota, Metazoa, Chordata, Chondrichthyes, Orectolobiformes, Hemiscylliidae. The transcript has 3 exons.